This 1332-nucleotide unclassified non-coding RNA is filed under the name Hevea brasiliensis (rubber tree). The record is from RNAcentral. Lineage: Eukaryota; Viridiplantae; Streptophyta; Magnoliopsida; Malpighiales; Euphorbiaceae.
CAAUAGGACACUGUUCUAUCCUUACACUCGCUUUGCCAUAGCAAUAAUUUGAAUCAUUAAUCUCCUAUUUUAGACUCAAUUUAUCCAAUUUUGGUGCUUUCUUUCAGGAACUCCCAAAACCAAACCCACCCAAGAAUUUUUUUUUUCCUUUCUUUGAGGAGGAAUACAAUCAAACAUGAGAGGGCUCUCUUUCUUUAUGAGAAACUUUGCAAAUUUCCUUUCCUUUCUUCUCCCUUUCAUUGAUAAACUCCCUUCAAAAUUGUUGCCUGCGCAAUUUGAGAACAUGAUUUCCUUGGUUUCUCGCACUGGUCGCCAUCUUCAGCGUUAUGAUAGAGGUUGCCGCCUAGUUGUAGGGUGUAUUCCUUACAGAUAUAAGAAAACUGAUCAACCAUCUUCCAUUGAUGGAACUUCUACUGAAGAUAUAGAAGUUCUUGUCAUCAGUUCACAAAGUGGUCAAGGAAUGUUAUUCCCUAAGGUAAUAUUUGUACUAGUUUCUUUAUAAUCAUUAAGUUUUUAAUCUGUUUAAUUAUCAUUCCUUAAUUGACAUUUGGAAUGUUUAACUUUCAGGGAGGAUGGGAAGAGGAUGAAUCCAUGGUACAAGCAGCACUGCGAGAGACUUUUGAGGAAGCAGGAGUGAUUGGCAAAGUUGAAGUAAGUUUUUGCAUGUUAACAUUUUGUCAUUGAAUUAUUGCCUGCUUUCUUAAAGUUCUAAUUCAAAUUACUUGAUGAUAUGUAAUUUUUGUUUUCAGUGUGAAUUGGGGAAAUGGCUAUAUAGGAGCAAAAGGGGUGCCAAAAUGCACGAGGUCUAUAUGUUUCCUUUGCUUGUUCAUAAGGAAUUAGAUCUAUGGCCAGAAAAGAGUAUCAGAAAACGAAAAUGGGUAUGUGUAAAUUUAUCAUUUGAACAAGUUGAUCAAUUGGUUUGAAUGGAACUGUUGAGGAAUGAGACCUGAUUUUGCAGUUUGAAUUUUUCAGGUGACUGUGAAGGAGGCCAGAGAAGUAUGCCAUAAUUGGUGGAUGAGAGAAGCUUUAGAUGAAUUAGUUCUGCGUCAACAACUAAAAGAGGAAGCUAAUGAAACAAGCUGUAAAUAGAACAUCGUUUAGUGGCUAAUUAAGUUUGUUAACAACCAAGAACAGGUUAUUGAGCAUAUUGUAGAUAUACAAAUGUCUUACUUUUUCUUUCUUCUUCCUUCUUUUGCCUCCCUAUGUACAGAUCUUGAUUCAUUCAUUCAUUCAUUCUUUCAACUUAGUAAAUUUUGGUUCUUGUUUUGCAUGAAUUUUCUCUUAUUUAUAAAGAUUUUCAGGAAUUAUACAUAUAUCACUGGCCAUAGGGAG